UACAGAGGGUGCAAACGUUGCUCGGAAUCACUGGGCGUAAAGGGUGCGUAGGCGGGUCUUUAAGUCAGGGGUGAAAUCCUGGAGCUCAACUCCAGAACUGCCUUUGAUACUGAAGAUCUUGAGUUCGGGAGAGGUGAGUGGAACUGCGAGUGUAGAGGUGAAAUUCGUAGAUAUUCGCAAGAACACCAGUGGCGAAGGCGGCUCACUGGCCCGAUACUGACGCUGAGGCACGAAAGCGUGGGGAGCAAACAGG
RNAcentral lists this ribosomal RNA (253 nucleotides) under uncultured bacterium. RNAcentral describes it as "partial 16S ribosomal RNA". It matches the Rfam family "Bacterial small subunit ribosomal RNA", at positions 524 to 776 of the family's 1533-position model. The record is from RNAcentral.